GACGAACGCUGGCGGCGUGCCUAAUACAUGCAAGUUGAGCGCUGAAGGUUGGUACUUGUACCGACUGGAUGAGCAGCGAACGGGUGAGUAACGCGUGGGGAAUCUGCCUUUGAGCGGGGGACAACAUUUGGAAACGAAUGCUAAUACCGCAUAAAAACUUUAAACACAAGUUUUAAGUUUGAAAGAUGCAAUUGCAUCACUCAAAGAUGAUCCCGCGUUGUAUUAGCUAGUUGGUGAGGUAAAGGCUCACCAAGGCGAUGAUACAUAGCCGACCUGAGAGGGUGAUCGGCCACAUUGGGACUGAGACACGGCCCAAACUCCUACGGGAGGCAGCAGUAGGGAAUCUUCGGCAAUGGACGAAAGUCUGACCGAGCAACGCCACGUGAGUGAAGAAGGUUGUCGGAUCGUAAAACUCUGUUGGUAGAGAAGAACGUUGGUGAGAGUGGAAAGCUCAUCAAGUGACGGUAACUACCCAGAAAGGGACGGCUAACUACGUG
Molecule: ribosomal RNA, 497 nt
Filed under: uncultured bacterium
Lineage: Bacteria
Description: partial 16S ribosomal RNA
Rfam family: Bacterial small subunit ribosomal RNA
Source: RNAcentral